GAUGAACGCUGGCGGCGUGCCUAAUACAUGCCAGUCGAGCGAACAGAUAAGGAGCUUGCUCCUUUGACGUUAGCGGCGGACGGGUGAGUAACACGUGGGUAACCUACCUAUAAGACUGGAAUAACUCCGGGAAACCGGGGCUAAUGCCGGAUAACAUUUAGAACCGCAUGGUUCUAAAGUGAAAGAUGGUUUUGCUAUCACUUAUAGAUGGACCCGCGCCGUAUUAGCUAGUUGGUAAGGUAACGGCUUACCAAGGCAACGAUGCGUAGCCGACCUGAGAGGGUGAUCGGCCACACUGGAACUGAGACACGGUCCAGACUCCUACGGGAGGCAGCAGUAGGGAAUCUUCCGCAAUGGGCGAAAGCCUGACGGAGCAACGCCGCGUGAGUGAUGAAGGUCUUCGGAUCGUAAAACUCUGUUAUUAGGGAAGAACAAAUGUGUAAGUAACUGUGCACGUCUUGACGGUACCUAAUCAGAAAGCCACGGCUAACUACGUG
RNAcentral lists this ribosomal RNA (497 nucleotides) under uncultured bacterium. Its description in RNAcentral is "partial 16S ribosomal RNA". It matches the Rfam family "Bacterial small subunit ribosomal RNA", at positions 28 to 507 of the family's 1533-position model. The record is from RNAcentral.